AGAGUUUGAUCAUGGCUCAGGAUAAACGCUGGCGGCGUGCCUAACACAUGCAAGUCGAACGCCCUUAGCAAUAAGGGAGUGGCGGACGGGUGAGGAACACGUGGAUAACCUACCUUGGGGUGAGGAAUACCGGCGAGAAAUCGCCGACAAUACCGCAUACGCUUCGCAAGAAGCAAAGCCUCGCAAGAGGCGCCACAAGA
Molecule: ribosomal RNA, 200 nt
Filed under: uncultured bacterium
Lineage: Bacteria
Description: partial 16S ribosomal RNA
Rfam family: Bacterial small subunit ribosomal RNA
Source: RNAcentral